Molecule: non-coding RNA, 748 nt
Organism: Camelina sativa (false flax)
Lineage: Eukaryota; Viridiplantae; Streptophyta; Magnoliopsida; Brassicales; Brassicaceae
Source: RefSeq, a predicted model, not a curated record
UCGCCGUCUACCUCCACUAUAGUCAAUUUGUGAUUAGCUAUGGUGAAGAAGGUCUCCAUGUUAAUGCCAGCAUUUAUCAGCCUUAGUAGGGGGUCAUGUUGAUGACUUUAACGACAAUUCUGUCAUCUUCAUGAGCGGAUAUCUCAGGGCCAGGGAAUUUCCCGUUGACUGUUACAAUCUCUUUUGUUUGACAUAGCCUGAACCUAGUUGCAGCGCCAACCCUGCCAAGAUUCAUUACUUGAAGAGUGAACAAGAAAAAGCUAAGCCGGAACAAGGACGAGACAGCUGAAUUGGUCAUCUUGCAUGGAAAGAGACGAGGAGAUUUGAGGUUGAAAGGUACUGAUAGAUUUAUGCCACUGAUUUUAUAGUGUUCCAAGGGGAAAGUUAGGAAAUAUAAUAUAUAGUGACGAAAAAGAGUUUCAUGAUUUGAGAGAGUUGGGAACAGAGACAUAAGUGAUUAUAAGGUGUUGGGAAGGCGUGACUUGUUUCUUGACCCCAGCGUGAGAUUGAAGGCAACACACGAGUUACUCUAAAAGGGUUUAAAAAGGAGAAAUAUACUCUUAAUUAGUGUCUGUUCUUUGAUUUUGAAUCAGGAAAAGCUUUAUGCAUUAUGAUGCAGGAUCUUCUACCAAACUAGUGAAACUGCUGACUGAUCAGGACCAACCCAGUUUUCACCAAGACUACUUUCUUCGUCAAGCUUUAGUGGAACCGACCUGAUUGGAACGUGAUGAUUGUUUCGAAUUUUGAC